Chroicocephalus ridibundus (black-headed gull) is the source of this 1070-nucleotide RNA transcript. It is a transcript of the gene named fatty acid binding protein 6, with no coding region annotated. NCBI's taxonomy places the organism in Eukaryota, Metazoa, Chordata, Aves, Charadriiformes, Laridae. The transcript is spliced from 9 exons. The record is from RefSeq and is a predicted model, not a curated record.
GAGGGCAGGAGGGCGGCCCUCAGGGGGGAUGGCGUUCCCUGGAGCUGCGUCCCCCCCGGGGAGAGGCUGUCUCUGCCUCCCAGCUUCUACGGCGCUCUGUCUGCUGCCGUGCCCGUCGCCGCCCGCGUGCGGGCGGGGGGUGUUACUGUUGCACUACCUCUCCCCCUGCUGUGGGGUGACUUUUAUUGGCAGACUUCAAGGUUGCUUCCAACCAUAUGCUUACAAUAGAAACAGAGCUACACCCCGGGUUGUCAGCCAUGCUUGCAGCUUUGUCGGUCUGUAUCACAGAGAAAGAGCAGAUGGAUUCAGCAUAUGAUCUGUGGCUUAAAAGAAAUCAGAUUUGUUUACCUUCUGAUUAAAGUCCUUUCAAAAAUGCAGAUUGCAAGGUACAUGGAGGUCUCUCUAUAUGUUUGUAUGGAGCACAAAACGAUUGGAUCCAAUCCUGGUUGUAACCUUUACCUGCCACCGUAAUACAAAUAACUCUGCAGCUUUUCCUGCAAUACCAGAAAGCCUGUUUGUAUCACAGCUGCUAUUCUGCUCUACCAACCACAUCUCCAGGGCAACAUGGCAUUCGCAGGCAAAUACGAAUUCGAAGGCGAUGAGAACUAUGAUGACUUUGUGACGAAGAUUGGUCUCCCCAGUGACAAGAUUGAAAUGGGAAGGAAUUGCAAAAUAGUCACUGAGGUGGUGCAGAACGGAAAUGACUUCACCUGGACGCAGCAUUUCCCAGGAGGCCGCACCACGACCAACACGUUCACGAUUGGCAAGGAAGCAGACAUGGAGACAAUGGGUGGUAAAAAGUUCAAGGCAACUGUUAAAAUGGAAGAUGGGAAAAUAGUAGCUGAGUUUCCCAACUAUCGUCAUACUGCAGAGAUUUCUGGAGGAAAGCUAGUAGAGAGUCUGCUGUUGGACUUAAUCUGCCCCAACUCCACCCAUGACACAACAGCACACACAGAACCCAAAAGUCAACAGACAAUUCCUGCUUAGAAGAUGCAGUCACCAGAAAAAAGACUGAACGUACAACUGCAUUCUCCUGUGCAGCCUUUCAACCUCCUCAGUAAAGCAACCGA